AGAGCUCAAAUUUGAAAGCUGGCCCCUCCGGGGUCCGCGUUGUAAUUUGCAGAGGAUGCUUUGGGUGCGGCCCCCGUCUAAGUGCCCUGGAACGGGCCGUCAGAGAGGGUGAGAAUCCCGUCUUGGGCGGGGUGUCCGUGCCCGUGUAAAGCUCCUUCGACGAGUCGAGUUGUUUGGGAAUGCAGCUCUAAAUGGGUGGUAAAUUUCAUCUAAAGCUAAAUACUGGCCGGAGACCGAUAGCGCACAAGUAGAGUGAUCGAAAGAUGAAAAGCACUUUGAAAAGAGAGUUAAACAGCACGUGAAAUUGUUGAAAGGGAAGCGCUUGCGACCAGACUCGCCCUCGGGGUUCAGCCGGCACUCGUGCCGGUGUACUUCCCCGGGGGCGGGCCAGCGUCAGCUUGGGCGGCCGGUCAAAGGCCUCCGGAAUGUAGUGCCCCCCGGGGCACCUUAUAGCCGGAGGUGCAAUGCGGCCAGCCUGGGCUGAGGAACGCGCUUCGGCACGGACGCUGGCAUAAUGGUCGCAAACGACCCGUCUUGAAACACG
This 544-nucleotide ribosomal RNA is filed under the name soil fungal sp. DM2-244. RNAcentral describes it as "eukaryotic LSU rRNA". It matches the Rfam family "Eukaryotic large subunit ribosomal RNA", at positions 104 to 663 of the family's 3401-position model. Lineage: Eukaryota; Fungi. The record is from RNAcentral.